Molecule: transfer RNA, 72 nt
Filed under: Candidatus Woesebacteria bacterium
Lineage: Bacteria; Candidatus Woeseibacteriota
Description: tRNA-Arg
Rfam family: tRNA
About the family: Transfer RNA (tRNA) molecules are approximately 80 nucleotides in length. Their secondary structure includes four short double-helical elements and three loops (D, anti-codon, and T loops). Further hydrogen bonds mediate the characteristic L-shaped molecular structure. tRNAs have two regions of fundamental functional importance: the anti-codon, which is responsible for specific mRNA codon recognition, and the 3' end, to which the tRNAs corresponding amino acid is attached (by aminoacyl-tRNA synthetases). tRNAs cope with the degeneracy of the genetic code in two manners: having more than one tRNA (with a specific anti-codon) for a particular amino acid; and 'wobble' base-pairing, i.e. permitting non-standard base-pairing at the 3rd anti-codon position.
Source: RNAcentral
GUUCUUGUAGUUCAAUGGAUAGAACAGACCCCUCCUAAGGGUCAGAUGCAGGUUCGAUUCCCGCCGAGAACA